AGUGAACGCUGGCGGCAGGCCUAAUACAUGCAAGUCGAACGGCAGCACAGCAGAGCUUGCUCUGUGGGUGGCGAGUGGCGGACGGGUGAGGAAUACAUGGGAAUCUGCCCAGUCGUGGGGGAUAACGUAGGGAAACUUACGCUAAUACCGCAUGCGCCCUUCGGGGGAAAGCCGGGGACCUUCGGGCCUGGCGCGAUUGGAUGAGCCCAUGUCGGAUUAGCUAGUUGGCGGGGUAAUGGCCCACCAAGGCGACGAUCCGUAGCUGGUCUGAGAGGAUGAUCAGCCACACUGGAACUGAGACACGGUCCAGACUCCUACGGGAGGCAGCAGUAGGGAAUAUUGGACAAUGGGCGCAAGCCUGAUCCAGCCAUGCCGCGUGAGUGAAGAAGGCCCUCGGGUUGUAAAGCUCUUUUGUCCGGAAAGAAAAGCGCCGGGUUAAUACCCUAGUGUCCUGACGGUACCGGAAGAAUAAGCACCGGCUAACUUCGUGCCAGCCGACCCG
Molecule: ribosomal RNA, 502 nt
Filed under: uncultured bacterium
Lineage: Bacteria
Description: bacterial SSU rRNA
Rfam family: Bacterial small subunit ribosomal RNA
Source: RNAcentral